AUACGGAGGGUGCAAGCGUUAUCCGGAAUCAUUGGGUUUAAAGGGUCCGUAGGCGGGCAAUUAAGUCAGAGGUGAAAUCCCACAGCUCAACUGUGGAACUGCCUUUGAUACUGGUUGUCUUGAGUUAUAGUGAAGUAGAUAGAAUAUGUAGUGUAGCGGUGAAAUGCAUAGAUAUUACAUAGAAUACCGAUUGCGAAGGCAGUCUACUAACUGUAUACUGACGCUAAUGGACGAAAGCGUGGGGAGCGAACAGGAUUAGAAACCCCAGUAGUCC
RNAcentral lists this ribosomal RNA (274 nucleotides) under uncultured bacterium. RNAcentral describes it as "partial 16S ribosomal RNA". It matches the Rfam family "Bacterial small subunit ribosomal RNA", at positions 523 to 796 of the family's 1533-position model. The record is from RNAcentral.